UAUAAUAUAGGUGAUAUAUUGAAAAAUGGUAUAUGUAAUUAAUAUUAUUUUAAGGAUUACGAAUCAAAAUUUAAAAAAUGAUAAAAAGAUAAAACUGUUUAAUAACAGUAAUCAAUCAUAAUCAUGAAAAUGAUAAAAAUUUAAACAAGUGGAAUGAAACAUCUGAGUAACUUGUAAAAUAACCAACAGGGAUAAUAUUAGUAACGGUGAGUGAAAGUAUUAAAAUCUUAAAGUAUUACCAAGAGGUAAGAAUAAAGUAGUUUCCAACUACUAAGAAAAAAGAAUAAAUUUUAGAUUAAAGUACCGCAAGGGAAAGUAAAAAAAUAGAAUAAUAAAGAGCAGUUAUAGUAUAACGUACCUUUUGUAUAAUGGGCCAGUGAGUUAUAUAUUUUAGUGAAAAAUAAAUUUUUAUAUAUAAAUAGAUAUAAAUGGGGAGUAUUAAUCUCCUCAGAAAAAUUAUCCCCCGGAGGGGGAUGAUUAAUCCACCCGUAGGGUGGAAAAAUUAAAGUAUAUAGGCCCGAAAGCAAACGAUCUACACAUGUCCAAGUGUAUAUAGAACCUUAUAUAAGGUUUAUAUAUGACUCAAUAGGUAAUUGUAGCAAUAAUUUCUAAAGAGAUGUGUGUAGCUGUGACAGACAAAUCUGGUUUGCAGAUAGCUGGUUUUCUGCGAAAUAUAUUUUAGUAUAGCCUUUAUAUAUGUUUAUACUGGUACAGCACUUAAAUACCUUUGGGGAAUUAGAAUAUAAUUUUAUCAAAAUAUUUAAACCUCGGAAUCAGUUUAUAAUAUAACCCAAAAUAAAUAUAUAAAAUAAACACGUUUAUUUUAGUUAUAAGGGUAGAGAUAUAAGGAGUCAGACUUAUUGCGAUAAGGUAGUAGGUCGAGAAGGAAACAACCUAGACUAUUAAAUGAAUGUCCCAAAUAUUAAUUAAGUGAACAAAAUCUAUCCUACUUUUAUUUUUUAUAAAAGUUAAAAUCUAAAUUUAGAUUUUACAUUAUUAUAACUAAUGUUAUAUAGUUAUAAUAUACGGGGAAUUAAAUUAUAGACAAUUAGUAAGUGGGUUUGACAAUAAUCAACUUUUAAUGAACAUGUAACAAUGCACUAAUUUUAUUUAUAUAUAUAUCUCCAUAUAUAUAUUUAUUAAUAAUAGAGAAAAUAUAUCGGGUCUAAAUUAAUAACAGUAUUAUAGAUAUAAUCUUGUAUGAUUAUAUGGUAGCAGAAUAUAUAAUGAAUAAUUAUAAAGAGAUUGCUGGCUUGAGUAACGAUAGAUAAUAUAAGAUUAUCCCCUUAUUCAUAAGGUUUUACUAUAAACGAACGGUCCCUAAGAUUAAUAUAGAAAUAUAAAAUUAAUGGGUGAAAGAACAAGAAAAUAAAAAUGAACCGUACUGUAGACCGACACAGGUAUGAUAAAAAGGGAAUGGGAUAACUACUUUGAAUGAACUCGGCAAAAUAAAUCGUGCGACUGUUUACCAAAAACAUAGCUUAUUGCAUACUAGUAAUAGUAAGUAUAAUAAGUGAUAUCUGCCCGGUGUUUGUUCAAUAAAUAUUAUUAUUUAAUAGAUAAUUUUAUAAAAAACAGAUAAACGGCGGUCUUAUUGUGAGGAUCCGAAGGUAGCGAAAUUCAUUGACGUAUAAUUGACGUCCUGCAUGAAUGAAUAUACGAUGCGAUAACUGUAUCCAAAGUAGACUCAGUGAAAUAGCAAUUGCGGUGAAGAUGCCGUAUAUCCGUAGGUUGACAAAAAGACCCUAUGCAGCUUUACUAUAUCUUUAUUUUGAUUAUUAAUCUUAGCAAUGCUAAGAUUAGCCUUUUUUUAUUUAUUUCAGUAGAUUAGGUUAUAUUUAUAUUUUAAAUCAAAUGAGAUACCUAUAUAAAUGAAAAAAGAAUCUAAUUAAUAUAGUCAAUAUAUACUCUACAAAUAUAAAAAACACUUUUUAUAUCCCCGCCCGCAACUUGUUGCGGGCGAGAGAGUUUUAGUUAUACUAAUGACUUAAGUUUUACUUAUUUAAGAAAGAGUAAAGAGGUUAGUUUCGAUGGGGCGUCGACAUCAGCGAAAGCAUCUGAUGUGUCUAAUAACAAUGAUCUUGAUUUAUCAAGACUUAAUGUUUAAUUAAAUUUUUUAUUUAAUAGUAAAUUACGUACAAUAUUUCUAUAUGGUAAAUAGAAUUAAACAGAAAAUUAAGGAGGGCGUAGCCCUCAUGAUUCUGUAAGUUUAUAAGUAAGGAUAACAACAUAAUUGUGCGAUGAUAAUAACACUAACAAGUGGAAUUAGUACUUACGUAGAGUGUAGUGAACAGGCAUAAACAAAUGGUAUGGAUGUCGAUAACGGAUUAAAGUUACGCUAGGGAUUAAAUGUUAGUUCCUUUAUAUAGAAAGCUCAUAAAUUUAUCCCCCCCUCAAGGGGGGAUAUAUCAUACCCUUCCGGGUAUAAUUUAUAUGAGCUGAAUAUAUAUUAUCUCCGCGAUAGUGAGAUAACCUUCUAAAGAAGGUAUAUUAAUUGGGUGAAUUGCAUAGAAAUCUUUUUAGUAAAAGAUAAUAUGCAGCGAAGCAUAUAUUAGUUUUUAUAGAUAUAUGAACGUUCAACGACUAGUAAUUGAGUAAACUAACAAUAAUAUUACCACGAGCGCCCAAUACCUAAUAAUAUCUUUAAUAGAUAUUCUUAAAUAAAUAUAAAAAUAUAUAUAUAUAUUCUCCCUAAAAAGGAGAAUAUAAAUCAAAUUACCUUAUAACAGAAGGUUUAUAAUAAAAAAUAAAAUAUGAACAAAGAGAUGAAAAAAUGAAUAAUGAAAAAGAUUUAAUUAAUAUUUCUCCUAAUAGUAAUUUAUUAAAAUCUUAUAAACAACAAUUUCCUAAUAUUUCACAAUAUCAAAAAAAAGUAUUAAUAGGUAUAAUAUUAGGAGAUGGAUAUAUUUAUACAAGGUAUAAUGGAAAAACUUAUGGGUUAAAAUUCGAAUGAAGUUAUAAAUCAAAAGAAUAUAUAGAUUUAAUAUUUAUUUAAGAAUUUUAUUAGGUAAAGACAUAGUCUAAACUAUAUAGUGAUAUAUAGAAGUUGUCAAAUUAAAAAAAACAACGAUAAUAAAAUUGAACAGGGUAAUACCGCGUGAGAGUUGAUAUCGUCAGCGGUGUUUGCCACCUCGAUUAAUAACGAUAGUCGAGUAUAAAUAGGUUUAAUUGCAAGAAAUCUAAAGAUUAAUAUCAAUGAUGAUUUGCAGCGAAUUAUUAUCUAUAUGAAUAAUAAUUUAUAGUUAAAAUAUAUAUGGAGAUAUAUAUCAUAGGGGUAAACCCCUAAAUAUAUAUGGAGAUAUAUAUAUCUCCCCCUUGGGGGGGAAAUAUAUAUUAUUAUAAGGAUAAUAAACGUUCAACGACUAGUAGGUGAGUACAUAUAACAAUACCCUACCAAGAAAUACCUAGGAAUAUUUACUGUAAUGCGGUAUGAUAUUAUUUUAUUUAUAUUGAAAAAUGGGAGAUGGUACUUUACAUAAAAGAGAUAAAAUAUAUAGUUUACAUACAGAAGGUUUUACCUUUGAUGAAUGUAAUAUUUUAUCAAAUGAGUUAAAUAUUAAAUUUAACUUAAAUAGUAGUGUUAGAAUAUCUAGAAAAACUAACACUAAGAUAUUAUACAAAAUAGUUUUUACAACUAAUGAUACUAAAUUAAUAACCCCCGCUUCGCGGGGGUGAUAAACCCCCUCCGGGGGGUUAAUAAGUAAAUUAAUUAAACCAUACAUUAUAAAAUCUUUUCAAUAUAAAAUUAUAUAGUCCAUAAUAUACUAUGGUCUAAUAUAUAAAUAUAUCUAUCAGUAUAACUAAAAAUAUUUUAAGACAUAGUCUGAACAAUAAUGAAAAUUAUUGAAAUUAAAUUUAAAUAAUUUAAUAAUAACAAAUUGGUCGUCUAGACUCGUCCUCCUGGUCGCAGCAACUAGGUAGGGUAGGACUGUUCGUCCUCUAAGGAGUUACUUGAGAUGGGUUAAUUACGACGUGAGUCAGUAAUGAUUUUAUCAUCUAUGGAUUUUUUUCUUAUCUGUUGCCUUAAGUGUACGCAAGGAUAAUAAGGUACAUUCCUAUGGUUAAAAAUUUAUAUUUUAGCUAAGAAUGUUGUGUUUACAUAUUGAAUGCAUAUCAAAUAUUAAAUCCUUCAGAUAAGUUUAUACAUUAUAGACUAUAAUGUAUUAGUUAAUUUGUGAUAUUCACAAAUAUACUAAUUAAAUAAUAUAUAUAUAUUAUAUAUAUAACUCAUUUUAUAAUGAGAAUAAACAUAUACCU
Molecule: ribosomal RNA, 4257 nt
Filed under: Metschnikowia ahupensis
Lineage: Eukaryota; Fungi; Ascomycota; Pichiomycetes; Serinales; Metschnikowiaceae
Description: large subunit ribosomal RNA
Rfam family: Bacterial large subunit ribosomal RNA (bases 29-2437)
Source: RNAcentral